CUAUUAUAUUAUUAAUAGCACAAUUUUCGGCUCUUAGAAAAAAAGAUGUAUGAUUAAAAUGAUAGUGAUCUUAGAGUUAAGUUGGUGGGUAGUUGAAUAGUAUAAUCUAAUAGAUAGAAAUGGUCUAAGAAAUAGAUUUAACGGCGGAAAACUUGAUAGCAUCAGGCGCUUGGUGCUAUCGAUAGUAUAGUAGCUAGACUCUAAAUUAAAUAACACGGCUAGAGCUUCUAUAUUUUUAUUAGUAUAGAUCUCUUUAUACUCAAAAAUUUUUUAUUGUUGGAUGAAGAGAUGUACGGUUAGAUUGAUAGUCGUCCCGCUAGUAUUAAAUGAAUAGUUGGUUAAAUAGUAUAAUCUACCGGUACUUACAUAUACUCAUAAAGAGUAUAGUAGCCGGACUCCAAAUAACACACAAAAAUUUCUCCAUCUAGAGACAACUUUAACCCCUCCGU
This 449-nucleotide long non-coding RNA is filed under the name Ananas comosus (pineapple). Its description in RNAcentral is "long non-coding RNA (ACOM_LNC008265)". Lineage: Eukaryota; Viridiplantae; Streptophyta; Magnoliopsida; Poales; Bromeliaceae. The record is from RNAcentral.